Long non-coding RNA from Raphanus sativus (radish), 2258 nucleotides. RefSeq lists it as uncharacterized. The transcript is spliced from 3 exons. Lineage: Eukaryota; Viridiplantae; Streptophyta; Magnoliopsida; Brassicales; Brassicaceae. The record is from RefSeq and is a predicted model, not a curated record.
GAGAAAAAAGAGUUCCACACUUAUAUUUGAUCGCAAGAAAUCACAUGGAGGUUGAGGUUUCUCAGAAUCUAUCUAUGCUAGUAAAAUGGAGUAUUUGAGGUUUCCGAGAACGUCUAUAUCACCAUAAAAUUCUUCUUCCGAAAGAAGAUGUAGGAAAGUGAUGAAGAAUAAGAAACCGAAGCUGAACCAGAGGCCAACCAGAUGAACCACUCAACCAACUCGAGAACCAACCAAGACGUAUGUAACUCAAAGUGGCAUCUCACCAACCAGGAAAAUUUCGACAUGAAACCAAUUUACAUGGAUUCUACACUCAACAAUGUUUCCAAGACAAGUUGAAUCAUCCUCAAACAUUCUCACCAGAAAGUUAUGGAUUUUACAAACUGAAGGAAAUCACCUAGUUGCUAUGGAAAUAUGGAGUUAUGAUCAAUUUUCCUAAACCAGCCAAACCAGUUAUGCAGUUGCCUGAUUUGGAGUCUCACCGGUUCAAUCUUAGUCAAAUUAAACAAUGACAACCUGGAGAGGUUUUUGGGAAUCUGGAAAGUAGAUCCAAUUAUCCCGGAGAUGAGAAAUGUUCUUACCAUGCACCAGCAUCCACCAGAUUGUUCAGAAUCAACGAAAACCAUAUUUACUAUUUUGGAGUCAAAAGCCAUCAAUACUCAGCAGCUCUUUUCCCAUCAAGACUGGCACUAUUUCUACCAAUAUUUCUGCAGUAAAAAAGUUCUUAAGAUGCUUACCUACAGCCUUAAAAUGUCCAGAUACAAAGCCAUCAUCUCAGUCUUUGAAUCAAGUCAUAUAAAUCAUGAAAUCUCUUAACAACUAGUUUUUUCGAUUUUCCUUAUUUGUCUGCUCCUUUCUUGUUCUUAAGUUACUUAGAAACGUGUAAUGGGAUUGUAUGGGAAGUUAUGUUGGUUAGUUAAAGCUGUUGAAUCUAAGUUUGAUAGAUACCGAGAUUAUACAUUUUUUUUUGCCAUUUAUUAUUAUUAUUUAUGAAAAGACCUAAAGCUCAGAACAUACAAAACCCAGUACACAGAAACUGAGUCUACACUAAGGGGUCCAAACAAUGGCCCGAAAAGAAAACGAACCCAACACUAGCCCAUAACGAAACAAUCCUAAACAGAUGAGCGCGUCGCACGAACGCGUAACAAGACACGCGUUAACACCAUGAUCCCCAAAAGACAAGCGUUUGAACCUCAACCAGACAAGGUACACGCGUCAUGCCUCCGCCGCGUCGUCACCGCCAAGGAUUUCAACACCGGAGAAAGCCGUCCGUCGCUUCCCCGGGACACCGAAACACCGUCGGAAACAUGAUUCCGACCCCUUCAAUUCCGCCUCUUCGCCUGGACUUGUAUCAACGGGGAGCUUCAUCGGCCUGUCCUGAGAUCUCCUCUCAAGCCACCGAAGUCAUCAUCCUCACCCUAACGUUUCCUUUCCUAGAGAGAGCCCAUCGAUCCGUUGAUUUCUCCUCCUGAAAGCGAAGCCGUACUCACCAUCGGGACAUAACCGGAGCAUCGAAAAAAUCCAACCACAUCCGCCGUCGAGAUCGGACCAUAACGACGCGGAGAAACCGAAGCCGGACGUUCGCCUUAGUAUAUGGGCGCAGCGCCGGAGUCAAAAGCCGACCGUCCACCGUGGAAGAGGUGUAACGCCGGAAGCCGAGGGAAAAACUAAGCAAACGAGAGCGAAAACAAAAGGAAAAAAAGAAAAAGCUAGUCUAAGACCGGACAGACUGUGGCUAAGAGAGCCUCGCCGUCGGCCGGAAAGCGGAACUCAGAUCUUUCGCCUCUAGAGAGAAGUUGGAGGAGCGAUUCAAGGAGAGAGAGAGAUUAGAUACUGAGGUUAUACAUAAACUCAAUGGUGGGUUAUUUGGACGACGUUUUAUUGAUCAACCGGAUGACGAAUUACGAGAAAGUGAUUAAAAAGUAAGUGAAAAUGAAAAAAAUCCGGCGAGAAUAAAGAAUGAAAGAUAAGCUCUACUUUUAACUACUGAUAUACUCUCUAAUUUUUAAUAUCCUUCUCUAAGUUCUUUCCUCCUUAUUUUAUAUUUGAGUUCCUUCUACUCUCAAUUUGGUUUGGCCUAAUUGGUUGAGCCGAGUUAGGCCAAGUUGUCUUCCAUUUACCUUGUUGAGAAUAACCGAAUUUUGUAUUUGAUGGGUUUUGUUGAAGGGUGUAAUCCUUCUCCAACAAAAAUUCACAUCCAAUCUAAUUCAAAAGUCCAAAAUAUCAGGAGUAAUAUACCAAAUUUUAGUUUUCUUAGAGCA